GAAUGAUUCAGUUUGAAUUCAGGAGUUCCUUGUUGGAUACAGACUCAGACGCACUCACUAGUCGCUACAUCUUAUAGCUAGACUUCCCAUUCUGGGCCAGCUUAAGUCUUGAUGGGAUUGGGCCGGCGCUUGGGAUUGGGCGAGUCUUCGACUGAAGCCUGGGAGCCGGCGCCUUCUUCUGGAAGAGCAUCAGGUUUGUUGGGCUUGCGCCGGCGCUUGGGCUUGGGCGAGUCUUCGACUGAAGCCUGGGAGCUGGCGCCUUCUUCUGGAAGAGCAUCAGGAUGGCCCGAGGUUGCGGCAGUGCGAACAGUAUUUGGCUAGACCAGAAAUGCAUAAAAUUAUGUCAACCUAUUGCCAUGAACCAAAAAAAAGUAUUUUCCACUAACCUUGGAGGAAGAAAAGAAACACUCAUGCAACAUUCUGGUC
RNAcentral lists this long non-coding RNA (426 nucleotides) under Setaria italica (foxtail millet). Its description in RNAcentral is "long non-coding RNA (SITA_LNC007426)". The record is from RNAcentral. Lineage: Eukaryota; Viridiplantae; Streptophyta; Magnoliopsida; Poales; Poaceae.